This 264-nucleotide ribosomal RNA is filed under the name uncultured archaeon. RNAcentral's name for it is "partial 16S ribosomal RNA". It matches the Rfam family "Archaeal small subunit ribosomal RNA", at positions 748 to 1008 of the family's 1478-position model. The record is from RNAcentral.
CAGCCGUAAACUAUGCGCGUUAGGUGUACUGGUGACCACGAGUCACCGGGGUGCCGAAGGGAAACCGUGAAACGUGCCGCCUGGGAAGUACGGUCGCAAGGCUGAAACUUAAAGGAAUUGGCGGGGGGAGGCACCACAACGGGUGGAGCCUGCGGUUUAAUUUGGACUCAACGCCGGAAAUCUCAUCGGAUAGGACAGACAUAUGAUAGUCGGGCUGAAGACUCUACUUGAUGAUCUGAGAGGUGGUGCAUGGCGUCAGUGACU